CAAGGUCAUUCGGGGCGGUUUGAUGUGAAGUGGUGUAUUGUAGAGACUUCUCUUUAUAGUGGUGGUAAUAGGAACCAGGGGUCGCUGUGUCUUCAGCGGAAAUAUAUCUGUUUUAUUUACUAUUCAAAACCACAGGUAACACUUAACGUGUCGUCUGAGCUUGAUGAAAGUAGUAAAUCUGAAAGAAAAGGGCUAUUUUGCCUUAGAGUACCCUUCAUUGUAUCCACUGACCAUGAAUAGAUAAUGGCUAAAUAAAAUACAUGUGUUACAGUAUGUUUAGGUCAAAAUUGCAUCACAAAUCUACCGCUGAACAAUGUCUGAGACGAGGCUGAGUGUUCAUAACCAUUUUCAUGCAAUAACUUCUGGGAAGGAGCUUCUAGAGGCAUUCAACUCUAAGACGUCUGGUUCCUAUCACCACCACUGUAAACGAUUCUGUCUUGAGCUGCAGCUGGGUCUCAUGGGGCCAAUGCAGAGCGGUGCCGGGGACACGGCGGUCCACGAGGUCACGCUUUUCACAGAUCUCCCCCAGCAGGCGGACAUCCGCAUCACACAGAGUGUAAGACCUCCCUCUUUCACACACAAACACACUCAUACACAUUCAGAUUCAGGCCCCAGUUCUGGA
Molecule: long non-coding RNA, 622 nt
Organism: Pygocentrus nattereri (red-bellied piranha)
Lineage: Eukaryota; Metazoa; Chordata; Actinopteri; Characiformes; Serrasalmidae
Source: Ensembl